Molecule: long non-coding RNA, 711 nt
Organism: Setaria italica (foxtail millet)
Lineage: Eukaryota; Viridiplantae; Streptophyta; Magnoliopsida; Poales; Poaceae
Exons: 2
Source: RefSeq, a predicted model, not a curated record
UAGCGGCCCUUGAGGUACGUCGGCUUGUGGACGCUCUGGAAGUACCUCUGCUUCUCCAAGAUCUUCUCCCUCGGCUGGAACGGCGGCUCCGGCUCCGGCGACGACGACGGCGCCAGCGGCGACAUCCCCUAGCUCAAAGAAGCUGAACUGCUGGAGCUGUCGACUUUAAUAGACACGCCCGAGUCGUCGACCAGAAACCCCCAGAAAGCGCGCAAGAAGAACAAAGCUACGGUCACGUCCAAGUGGGCUACUUCUCCGUCAGACGUCGAACCCCACCACCGAAGCACCGCGGUCUGUCUAGGCGUCUAGCCCGUUCGAUUCGGUUGAGCACUUGAGCUAGAGACCAGACGUCUCCGAAAGGCUCCAGAACGUUCUGCGGUUUGCCGGGACGAGAAAUCGGGACGGCCCGGCAUGAACAGAGAGGAUCGAUCCCGUGCUUCACGAACGGGAAAAGGCUUCCGCCUUCGGCCUCCACGCCCCGCCCGCCGCAGCGACUGUUCUGCUCGUGUUUCUGUUAUUAUGGCCUGCCACUGGAAGGUACCUUGUUCAUACCCAAAUCAAAUAUAUCGGAGUAUUUGGUAACACUUCAUUUAAAAAAAAAAGACAGUUCCAUUCCACCAACUUCACCUUCCUCCAACUCUACUCCAUCAAAUCUAAAAAAAUGUAAAGUUGAUCCCCCUGUUUAGCUAAUGAGAUGCUCCAACUCUAGAA